RNAcentral lists this small RNA (531 nucleotides) under Staphylococcus aureus. Its description in RNAcentral is "Transcript". The stretch from base 10 to 322 matches the Rfam family "S. aureus tsr24 small RNA". The record is from RNAcentral. Lineage: Bacteria; Bacillati; Bacillota; Bacilli; Caryophanales; Staphylococcaceae.
UGACUAUAGAUUUUUUUCGUUUCUGGUUCAGAAAGCUUUUGAUUAAUUUGGGCUUUAAUGUAUUUCAAAGUAAAAUUACAUGUUAAUACGUAGUAUUAAUGGCGAGACUCCUGAGGGAGCAGUGCCAGUCGAAGACAGGGGCCCCAACACAGAAGCUGACAUAUAGUCAGCUUACAACAAUGUGCCGGUUGGGGUGGCUGAGACGGCACCCUAGGAAGGGACCCGUCAUCAAAAAUUCUAUUUAUAGAAUUUUACAGUAAUGUGACAGACGGGCAAAGCGAAGCCAUUCAAUACGAAGUAUUGUAUAAAUAGAGAACAGCAGUAAGAUAUUUUCUAAUUGAAAAUUAUCUUACUGCUGUUUUUUUAGGGAUUUAUGUCCCAGCCAUUUUUGUAUUCAUAUUUAAAUUUCGAUAAUUCUUCAGGAAGCAUUUUAAUUUUACUAAUGAAGCAAUAUUUUUUAGAUUAACAAAAAUUAAUAUUUACAUUUUCUUAACAAAUUUUUAUGUAACAUUUACAGUUUCUAAAAAUGAG